GGUCAGUGUGAGGUUCAACUGGAAACAGAGCCGGCUUUCAGGCCCUGAGGAAUCCACGUGAGGGUCCAUCAGGGCUGCCUGCGGGGGAUUGAGGAUUAUCAAAGAAAAAGGGGGCUUGAAACCUAGCAGGACCCUGCAGAGAUCUCCCAGGAAGUAAGACCCUUAUCCAGGUGGAGGUCAAGCUGAGCACAAGCCGGUACAUCCCAGACUGGUUAGAACCAGAAGAUGGGGAAACCGAGGCACAGAGAAGCAAAGUGAUCUUCCCAGAGCCACACAGCCAGUGGGUGGUAGGGCCAGGCUCCAAACCCAGGUCUUUCUGAGCCCCGAGCCCACUGCACCAUCUUGCCUGGCCCUCCUGAGAUUGGGUUCGAGACUUCUCCACGUGCUGUCCCAUCACAGCACUUACUAUGCAGUCUCCCCCACUAGACUAGGAGCUGGGGGUGCCAGAAACUGCAUUCUGAUCACUGUUAUCCCUUCUUUCUAGGAAAUAGGCCCAUAGAUGAUGCUCCAAAAGAUACUAUUUAGGUGAAUUAAUGAAGGCUGAUCUUAUAUCCACUGCUCUUUUCUGAAUAUUGCUGCUUUCCUUAUAACUUACUGUUUGUUCACUGUCUGCUUUCCCCUACUAGAAGAUGCAUAGAAAGACAUUUUGUUCAUGACUGGAUUCUCAAAGCCUAGAACAAUGCUUGGGGAACUAGUAAGGGUCCAAUAAAUACCUGUUAGUAAAUAAACUAAAAUAGCUGCUCGGACAAGCAAAUUCUACUUUUUUGUGACAUCAUAGUAUUGUUUUCUGAUGCUGAUCUCAGUAAGAUAAUGUUCAACAACUGUUAACACUGUAACGUGGGUAAGCGCAGAAUGCUCUGGCUUCCUGAGUUAAACAUUCACUUGCAGCUGAAUGACGACUGGAAGGGGAACCACAGGAAUGCUGUCCCCGAGAGCACUGUCUCAGGAAGGAGACACUGGUGGUUGACACAGGCAGCCUGUGGACUCUACACUCUACAGCUCUGGUCCAGCACCGGCAAAAUCACGGCUAGAGACCACUGUGCUCGUGACUUCCAUCUCAUUCACCUUCCUUUCACCAGAUGCAAUUCUUGAAGCAGAAAAAUAAAACCUGUUUGUAAUAAUUAUCAGCUUCAUUUUCUUAGGAGUCAAGUGUCUCUUGCCAGAACUCUUCUAGAUCAAAGGUACUGUUUUUUCCUCUCUGUAAACCAGUAUUAUGUGCUCCAUUAAAUAUUUUCUUUUGGUAUAAAA
Long non-coding RNA from Balaenoptera ricei (Rice's whale), 1248 nucleotides. RefSeq lists it as uncharacterized. Lineage: Eukaryota; Metazoa; Chordata; Mammalia; Artiodactyla; Balaenopteridae. The transcript is spliced from 5 exons. The record is from RefSeq and is a predicted model, not a curated record.